This 2190-nucleotide ribosomal RNA is filed under the name Escherichia coli. RNAcentral describes it as "partial 23S ribosomal RNA". It matches the Rfam family "Bacterial large subunit ribosomal RNA", at positions 1 to 2215 of the family's 2925-position model. Lineage: Bacteria; Pseudomonadati; Pseudomonadota; Gammaproteobacteria; Enterobacterales; Enterobacteriaceae. RNAcentral also lists the same sequence under 1 other name. The record is from RNAcentral.
GGUUAAGCGACUAAGCGUACACGGUGGAUGCCCUGGCAGUCAGAGGCGAUGAAGGACGUGCUAAUCUGCGAUAAGCGUCGGUAAGGUGAUAUGAACCGUUAUAACCGGCGAUUUCCGAAUGGGGAAACCCAGUGUGUUUCGACACACUAUCAUUAACUGAAUCCAUAGGUUAAUGAGGCGAACCGGGGGAACUGAAACAUCUAAGUACCCCGAGGAAAAGAAAUCAACCGAGAUUCCCCCAGUAGCGGCGAGCGAACGGGGAGCAGCCCAGAGCCUGAAUCAGUGUGUGUGUUAGUGGAAGCGUCUGGAAAGGCGCGCGAUACAGGGUGACAGCCCCGUACACAAAAAUGCACAUACUGUGAGCUCGAUGAGUAGGGCGGGACACGUGGUAUCCUGUCUGAAUAUGGGGGGACCAUCCUCCAAGGCUAAAUACUCCUGACUGACCGAUAGUGAACCAGUACCGUGAGGGAAAGGCGAAAAGAACCCCGGCGAGGGGAGUGAAAAAGAACCUGAAACCGUGUACGUACAAGCAGUGGGAGCACGCUUCGGCGUGUGACUGCGUACCUUUUGUAUAAUGGGUCAGCGACUUAUAUUCUGUAGCAAGGUUAACCGAAUAGGGGAGCCGAAGGGAAACCGAGUCUUAACUGGGCGUUAAGUUGCAGGGUAUAGACCCGAAACCCGGUGAUCUAGCCAUGGGCAGGUUGAAGGUUGGGUAACACUAACUGGAGGACCGAACCGACUAAUGUUGAAAAAUUAGCGGAUGACUUGUGGCUGGGGGUGAAAGGCCAAUCAAACCGGGAGAUAGCUGGUUCUCCCCGAAAGCUAUUUAGGUAGCGCCUCGUGAAUUCAUCUCCGGGGGUAGAGCACUGUUUCGGCAAGGGGGUCAUCCCGACUUACCAACCCGAUGCAAACUGCGAAUACCGGAGAAUGUUAUCACGGGAGACACACGGCGGGUGCUAACGUCCGUCGUGAAGAGGGAAACAACCCAGACCGCCAGCUAAGGUCCCAAAGUCAUGGUUAAGUGGGAAACGAUGUGGGAAGGCCCAGACAGCCAGGAUGUUGGCUUAGAAGCAGCCAUCAUUUAAAGAAAGCGUAAUAGCUCACUGGUCGAGUCGGCCUGCGCGGAAGAUGUAACGGGGCUAAACCAUGCACCGAAGCUGCGGCAGCGACACUAUGUGUUGUUGGGUAGGGGAGCGUUCUGUAAGCCUGUGAAGGUGUACUGUGAGGUAUGCUGGAGGUAUCAGAAGUGCGAAUGCUGACAUAAGUAACGAUAAAGCGGGUGAAAAGCCCGCUCGCCGGAAGACCAAGGGUUCCUGUCCAACGUUAAUCGGGGCAGGGUGAGUCGACCCCUAAGGCGAGGCCGAAAGGCGUAGUCGAUGGGAAACAGGUUAAUAUUCCUGUACUUGGUGUUACUGCGAAGGGGGGACGGAGAAGGCUAUGUUGGCCGGGCGACGGUUGUCCCGGUUUAAGCGUGUAGGCUGGUUUUCCAGGCAAAUCCGGAAAAUCAAGGCUGAGGCGUGAUGACGAGGCACUACGGUGCUGAAGCAACAAAUGCCCUGCUUCCAGGAAAAGCCUCUAAGCAUCAGGUAACAUUAAAUCGUACCCCAAACCGACACAGGUGGUCAGGUAGAGAAUACCAAGGCGCUUGAGAGAACUCGGGUGAAGGAACUAGGCAAAAUGGUGCCGUAACUUCGGGAGAAGGCACGCUGAUAUGUAGGUGAAGUCCCUCGCGGAUGGAGCUGAAAUCAGUCGAAGAUACCAGCUGGCUGCAACUGUUUAUUAAAAACACAGCACUGUGCAAACACGAAAGUGGACGUAUACGGUGUGACGCCUGCCCGGUGCCGGAAGGUUAAUUGAUGGGGUUAGCGGUAACGCGAAGCUCUUGAUCGAAGCCCCGGUAAACGGCGGCCGUAACUAUAACGGUCCUAAGGUAGCGAAAUUCCUUGUCGGGUAAGUUCCGACCUGCACGAAUGGCGUAAUGAUGGCCAGGCUGUCUCCACCCGAGACUCAGUGAAAUUGAACUCGCUGUGAAGAUGCAGUGUACCCGCGGCAAGACGGAAAGACCCCGUGAACCUUUACUAUAGCUUGACACUGAACAUUGAGCCUUGAUGUGUAGGAUAGGUGGGAGGCUUUGAAGUGUGGACGCCAGUCUGCAUGGAGCCGACCUUGAAAUACCACCCUUUAAUGUUU